GUGUUGAUGAUGAGAACUCAUACUGUCUCAAAGAUAGAAUGACUUAAAAAUCAUGCUCAACAGGAUUACACUGAAGCCC
Molecule: small nucleolar RNA, 79 nt
Organism: Ochotona princeps (American pika)
Lineage: Eukaryota; Metazoa; Chordata; Mammalia; Lagomorpha; Ochotonidae
Gene: SNORD115
Rfam family: Small nucleolar RNA SNORD115
About the family: HBII-52 is a member of the C/D class of snoRNAs, which contain the C (UGAUGA) and D (CUGA) box motifs.
Source: Ensembl